UAACUGAGAAUAAGAAGAAAAAACCCAAAAGCAAAUUGAUCGUGGAGAAUUCAUUGUUAUUGUGUUUUACCUAUUUCUCCCAAAUCCCCUUUAGUGUCGAUGGACAAAAUCUGCUCUAGAGAUGAGAAAAAAUACAACAACGCGGGAAAGCUUUUAUAUUUUAAAGUUUUUGAAAUGUUUUAUUGUUUGAAUUGCGAUUUUGCAAAAAGGUUUAUUACAUUUUAGUGGCGCAUGCUUAUACAUAUAUUGAUUGACUGGUUUUUGUAAAUUACGUUAAAUGACAACUCAGAUGCUUGGUAAUACCAUAAAAUUAAUGACGAUUUACAAUGGAGUACUCUACUAAUUAUUGUAAGAAUUUCAACUUAUUUGCACAGCACCUGUCUAUGCAAAAUUUCAAAUAUGUUUAGAAGUUGCACUUAAACUUUCAAUUUUGAAUUUUAUUUGGUGGAAUUAAUCUACCAAAUACGAAGACUGAAAAUCGGAAUGCGAAAUACAGCCUACUUUAUGUUUACAAGUACUUUAAAUAAAAAGUUUCAUAAAAAUAUUAACGGAAGGAUGGAUGAGAUUGAAUCGACCCAUAAAAAGAUUUUAGGUUGAAGAGUGCACCAAAAAGCAGCGGAUUUAUGAUUUAAAUCAAUAUAAUUUGAAACACAUGGCACUUUUUGUUGGAGCAAUGAAUAUAUGGAAAUCGCUAAAACCCAAACCACUUAAGAUAUCGAUAAAUGAUUUUGUACACAUAAGAAUAACCAAUAGAGUUAGAAAUUGCAACAAUUAAAAAAAUCGCAAAUCCACAUAGUAUUAAAAUACAAAACAGGUACGAUUUAUUUUUAGGAACAUAUAAGCAUUUGUUGUAAGAUAGUAAUAAUAGAAGAUAUCAUCAUAAUAAUAUAAGAUAUCCCGUUAAUUUAACACUUAGAGUAAGUAGAAUUCCUACUUAUCCUUUAUGUUUGGCUGCUAAUAAGCCAGUUCGCCACACUUACUCUACACCACCGCUUAGAUGUGGUACAAAUAUUAUUUUCUUUACAGUUUGUCUAAAAAUAUAUAUUUGUUUGUCUAAAAAUAUAGA
Molecule: long non-coding RNA, 1066 nt
Organism: Lucilia cuprina (Australian sheep blowfly)
Lineage: Eukaryota; Metazoa; Arthropoda; Insecta; Diptera; Calliphoridae
Exons: 4
Source: RefSeq, a predicted model, not a curated record